AUUUUUUUAAAAAAUUUUCACUUUUCAUUUUGUUUUUUAAAAAAACUCCCUCUCUUCUUUUGUUUCUCUCUGGAAGUGCCUGCUCCGGCGAGGGCCCCGGCCAGUCCCCGUCACCGAUCACCACCAGCGACCGUCCCCGGCCUCCAAAAAAGGCUUUGCAGGCGAUGGGACAAGGCUAGAGGGUGGUUGAAGUGUGGUCAGAGGCGGUAGCACUAGGGGCGGCAGCCACUUGGAUUAGGGGGCUAGGGUUUGUUGUUUUUCCGAAAAUAUUAUGAGCUAGGGUUUUAGUUUCGAGCC
This is a long non-coding RNA of Gossypium arboreum, 297 nucleotides long. RefSeq lists it as uncharacterized. The transcript has 2 exons. The record is from RefSeq and is a predicted model, not a curated record. NCBI's taxonomy places the organism in Eukaryota, Viridiplantae, Streptophyta, Magnoliopsida, Malvales, Malvaceae.